RNAcentral lists this ribosomal RNA (386 nucleotides) under uncultured bacterium. Its description in RNAcentral is "bacterial SSU rRNA". It matches the Rfam family "Bacterial small subunit ribosomal RNA", at positions 30 to 416 of the family's 1533-position model. The record is from RNAcentral.
AUUGAACGCUGGCGGCAUGCUUUACACAUGCAAGUCGAACGGUAACAGGGAGCUUGCUCCGCUGACGAGUGGCGAACGGGUGAGUAAUGCAUCGGAACAUGCCCAGUCAUGGGGGAUAACUACGCGAAAGCGUAGCUAAUACCGCAUACGCCCUGAGGGGGAAAGUGGGGGAUCUUAGGACCUCACGCAAUUGGAGCGGCCGAUGUCGGAUUAGCUUGUUGGUGGGGUAAAGGCCUACCAAGGCGACGAUCCGUAGCUGGUCUGAGAGGAUGAUCAGCCACACUGGGACUGAGACACGGCCCAGACUCCUACGGGAGGCAGCAGUGGGGAAUUUUGGACAAUGGGCGAAAGCCUGAUCCAGCCAUGCCGCGUGAGUGAAGAAGGCC